CUCCCGGCCGGAUCCCGUGGGGGGAAUCCGCACCGGGUAUAGGGGAAGCGCCCCGCCCGCCAAC
RNAcentral lists this non-coding RNA (64 nucleotides) under Streptomyces sp. ERV7. RNAcentral's name for it is "Streptomyces RNA 2736". It matches the Rfam family "Streptomyces RNA 2736". Rfam says of the family: Identified by deep sequencing of transcriptome at the end of exponential growth phase. Appears smaller on northern blot than sequencing transcript. Lineage: Bacteria; Bacillati; Actinomycetota; Actinomycetes; Kitasatosporales; Streptomycetaceae. The record is from Rfam by way of RNAcentral.